Molecule: transfer RNA, 72 nt
Filed under: Pangasius djambal
Lineage: Eukaryota; Metazoa; Chordata; Actinopteri; Siluriformes; Pangasiidae
Description: tRNA-Glu
Rfam family: tRNA
About the family: Transfer RNA (tRNA) molecules are approximately 80 nucleotides in length.
Source: RNAcentral
UCCCUGGAGGACCAGUGGUUAGGCUGCAGCGCUCUCACUGCUGCGGCCUGGAUUCGAUUCCCAGCCAAGGAA